This is a non-coding RNA of Xylariaceae sp. FL0804, 99 nucleotides long. NCBI's taxonomy places the organism in Eukaryota, Fungi, Ascomycota, Sordariomycetes, Xylariales, Xylariaceae. The record is from the annotation of a GenBank genome assembly.
UUCGCCGUGGCCUAAUGGUUAGGGCGCCAGAUUUCGGCUUGUUCCUGAUCGCGGGUUUCCAAACUCUGGAGAUUGCCGGUUCGAAUCCGGUCGGCGAAG